UUAAGCGACUAAGCGUACACGGUGGAUGCCCUGGCAGUCAGAGGCGAUGAAGGGCGUGCUAAUCUGCGAUAAGCGCCGGUAAGGUGAUAUGAACCGUUAUAACCGGCGAUACCCGAAUGGGGAAACCCAGUGUGACUCGUCACACUAUCAUUAACUGAAUCCAUAGGUUAAUGAGGCGAACCGGGGGAACUGAAACAUCUAAGUACCCCGAGGAAAAGAAAUCAACCGAGAUUCCCCCAGUAGCGGCGAGCGAACGGGGAGGAGCCCAGAGCCUGAAUCAGCAUGUGUGUUAGUGGAAGCGUCUGGAAAGGCGCGCGAUACAGGGUGACAGCCCCGUACACAAAAGCGCAUGUGCUGUGAGCUCGAUGAGUAGGGCGGGACACGUGGUAUCCUGUCUGAAUAUGGGGGGACCAUCCUCCAAGGCUAAAUACUCCUGACUGACCGAUAGUGAACCAGUACCGUGAGGGAAAGGCGAAAAGAACCCCGGCGAGGGGAGUGAAAAAGAACCUGAAACCGUGUACGUACAAGCAGUGGGAGCACAGGUUUACCUGUGUGACUGCGUACCUUUUGUAUAAUGGGUCAGCGACUUAUAUUCUGUAGCAAGGUUAACCGAAUAGGGGAGCCGGAGGGAAACCGAGUCUUAAUUGGGCGUUAAGUUGCAGGGUAUAGACCCGAAACCCGGUGAUCUAGCCAUGGGCAGGUUGAAGGUUGGGUAACACUAACUGGAGGACCGAACCGACUAAUGUUGAAAAAUUAGCGGAUGACCUGUGGCUGGGGGUGAAAGGCCAAUCAAACCGGGAGAUAGCUGGUUCUCCCCGAAAGCUAUUUAGGUAGCGCCUCGUGAAUUCAUCUCCGGGGGUAGAGCACUGUUUCGGCUAGGGGGCCAUCCCGGCUUACCAACCCGAUGCAAACUGCGAAUACCGGAGAAUGUUAUCACGGGAGACACACGGCGGGUGCUAACGUCCGUCGUGAAGAGGGAAACAACCCAGACCGCCAGCUAAGGUCCCAAAGUCAUGGUUAAGUGGGAAACGAUGUGGGAAGGCCCAGACAGCCAGGAUGUUGGCUUAGAAGCAGCCAUCAUUUAAAGAAAGCGUAAUAGCUCACUGGUCGAGUCGGCCUGCGCGGAAGAUGUAACGGGGCUAAACCAUGCACCGAAGCUGCGGCAGCGACGCUGAUGCGUUGUUGGGUAGGGGAGCGUUCUGUAAGCCUGCGAAGGUGGCCUGUGAGGGUUGCUGGAGGUAUCAGAAGUGCGAAUGCUGACAUAAGUAACGAUAAAGCGGGUGAAAAGCCCGCUCGCCGGAAGACCAAGGGUUCCUGUCCAACGUUAAUCGGGGCAGGGUGAGUCGACCCCUAAGGCGAGGCCGAAAGGCGUAGUCGAUGGGAAACGGGUUAAUAUUCCCGUACUUGGUGUUACUGCGAAGGGGGGACGGAGAAGGCUAUGUUGGCCGGGCGACGGUUGUCCCGGUUUAAGCGUGUAGGUGUGUGUUCCAGGUAAAUCCGGUUCACUUUAACACUGAGGCGUGAUGACGAGGCACUACGGUGCUGAAGCAACAAAUGCCCUGCUUCCAGGAAAAGCCUCUAAGCAUCAGGUAACAUCAAAUCGUACCCCAAACCGACACAGGUGGUCAGGUAGAGAAUACCAAGGCGCUUGAGAGAACUCGGGUGAAGGAACUAGGCAAAAUGGUGCCGUAACUUCGGGAGAAGGCACGCUGACACGUAGGUGAAGUGAUUUACUCAUGGAGCUGAAGUCAGUCGAAGAUACCAGCUGGCUGCAACUGUUUAUUAAAAACACAGCACUGUGCAAACACGAAAGUGGACGUAUACGGUGUGACGCCUGCCCGGUGCCGGAAGGUUAAUUGAUGGGGUCAGCGCAAGCGAAGCUCCUGAUCGAAGCCCCGGUAAACGGCGGCCGUAACUAUAACGGUCCUAAGGUAGCGAAAUUCCUUGUCGGGUAAGUUCCGACCUGCACGAAUGGCGUAAUGAUGGCCAGGCUGUCUCCACCCGAGACUCAGUGAAAUUGAACUCGCUGUGAAGAUGCAGUGUACCCGCGGCAAGACGGAAAGACCCCGUGAACCUUUACUAUAGCUUGACACUGAACAUUGAGCCUUGAUGUGUAGGAUAGGUGGGAGGCUUUGAAGUGUGGACGCCAGUCUGCAUGGAGCCGACCUUGAAAUACCACCCUUUAAUGUUUGAUGUUCUAACGUGGACCCGUGAUCCGGGUUGCGGACAGUGUCUGGUGGGUAGUUUGACUGGGGCGGUCUCCUCCUAAAGAGUAACGGAGGAGCACGAAGGUUGGCUAAUCCUGGUCGGACAUCAGGAGGUUAGUGCAAUGGCAUAAGCCAGCUUGACUGCGAGCGUGACGGCGCGAGCAGGUGCGAAAGCAGGUCAUAGUGAUCCGGUGGUUCUGAAUGGAAGGGCCAUCGCUCAACGGAUAAAAGGUACUCCGGGGAUAACAGGCUGAUACCGCCCAAGAGUUCAUAUCGACGGCGGUGUUUGGCACCUCGAUGUCGGCUCAUCACAUCCUGGGGCUGAAGUAGGUCCCAAGGGUAUGGCUGUUCGCCAUUUAAAGUGGUACGCGAGCUGGGUUUAGAACGUCGUGAGACAGUUCGGUCCCUAUCUGCCGUGGGCGCUGGAGAACUGAGGGGGGCUGCUCCUAGUACGAGAGGACCGGAGUGGACGCAUCACUGGUGUUCGGGUUGUCAUGCCAAUGGCACUGCCCGGUAGCUAAAUGCGGAAGAGAUAAGUGCUGAAAGCAUCUAAGCACGAAACUUGCCCCGAGAUGAGUUCUCCCUGAGACUUAGAGUCUCCUGAAGGAACGUUGAAGACGACGACGUUGAUAGGCCGGGUGUGUAAGCGCAGCGAUGCGUUGAGCUAACCGGUACUAAUGAACCGUGAGGCUUAACCUU
This 2906-nucleotide ribosomal RNA is filed under the name Salmonella enterica subsp. enterica serovar Montevideo str. USDA-ARS-USMARC-1903. Its description in RNAcentral is "bacterial LSU rRNA". It matches the Rfam family "Bacterial large subunit ribosomal RNA". The record is from RNAcentral. Lineage: Bacteria; Pseudomonadati; Pseudomonadota; Gammaproteobacteria; Enterobacterales; Enterobacteriaceae.